Chenopodium quinoa (quinoa) is the source of this 699-nucleotide long non-coding RNA. RefSeq lists it as uncharacterized. The record is from RefSeq and is a predicted model, not a curated record. Lineage: Eukaryota; Viridiplantae; Streptophyta; Magnoliopsida; Caryophyllales; Amaranthaceae. The transcript has 2 exons.
AAGAUAGGCGUUCUAUAAGUAUUAUAAUUUUAAUAAAAAAAAAGUUGAACGUAUCAUUUACUUCCCACAUCCCGCCUAACCCUAAUAUAUACUAGUACUUUGUAUACCAAUAGAGCCGCUCCCUUUCUACCAUCUUCUAGCUCUUUCUCACUUCCUUUAUUUCUUAUCAAAUAUUAAGAUCUUCCUGGCUCCCUCCUCUCUCUCUCUCUCUCUCAUCGUCCCCCUCAUCCUCUAUCUACAAAUCCCAAGCAACACCAUCGUUCAGCUUCCCACGCCUACAAGUACACCACCUAUCAACAUUUUCAUGCCCACCAUUAAGCCACUAGCCACCGUUGAGCAACGUUCGUCCACCACCGAGCUACGAGCCAUCGUAGACCCACGAGCGUCUAACGACGGGACACCAUUGAGCCAUGAGAUGUCGAUCUGAGCCUUUAAUUGGUCAAGGUUAUUGAACUUCAGAUCUGAGCCCUCAUCCUCUAUACUUCAAUAUUUACAACAAGCAGAUAUGAGUGGACAUGAACCGAUAGAACAAUUCUCGAGACAAUGCGAAGACGCAGCAAUGCUACUGCAUAACAUUAAAAUUGAUCUUAAAUUGUAUGAUUUGUGUUAUAUUUAGUUUUUAAUUGUAUUUGAGUUUUUCUAUGUACAUGUAUUUUUUUAUUAAUUGAAGUUAUAAUGAGAAACUAUACUUUUGGUGUU